UAUUCAGAACAUCAAGGCUAUCUGGAAACUGGUAGCAAAUACAAGUUGCAAAGGAAGGAAGGAUGAUUUUGGAGGUGAUAUGGGCGAUGGACCAGAUCAGAAGGUUAAGGGGUAACUGCUCAGCUUGCGUCUUCAUCUCUCCUUCCGACUUCUCGAUGGGUAACCGACAUCUGAACCAUCCAUGUUUCCCCUGCAGAAUUACCUCGUCGGUCUAGAAGGUGACGUGGAUCAGUAAGCUGGUGGCAAUUUUGGCCACCGCUAUAUUCCUAUUUUUAUGUAAUGGAUCUUUUGUACUCUCCAUUUGUUUGUCAUUCAGUGUUGGUCUUGUUUCCAAAGUUGCCUUGGUUUUUCAACCGUGAGGUAGGAGUGCAGGUGUCACCAUAUGGGGGUGUGCUGAUGCUUAGAAAGGGAAUCUCUACAUGACAGUCCCAUGUUUUGUUCUUUGGUUUCUGUUAUGUAAGAGAUAAAGUGGGAGAGAGAAAGAAACUGUAUAUUAUCAGUCCAGGCCUUAAGCUUUCAGGUGAAGCUUCUGUCAUUCUAAAUCACCCUUCAGAUUUUUUCAAUAUGGG
Molecule: long non-coding RNA, 569 nt
Filed under: Sus scrofa (pig)
Lineage: Eukaryota; Metazoa; Chordata; Mammalia; Artiodactyla; Suidae
Description: lncRNA (ENSSSCG00030016272.1)
Source: RNAcentral